CACGUAGGCACCAAGCGUUGUCCGGAAUUAUUGGGCGUAAAGAGCGUGUAGGCGGCCAGAUAAGUCCGCUGUGAAAUCUCGAGGCUCAACUUCGAGCUGUCGGUGGAAACUAUCUGGCUAGAGUUCGGUAGGGGAGAUCGGAAUUCCUGGUGUAGCGGUGAAAAUGCGCAGAUAUCAGGAGGAACACCGGUGGCGAAGGCAGGUCUCUGGGCAUUAACUGACGCUGAGGAGCGAAAGCAUGGGGAGCGAACAGG
This 254-nucleotide ribosomal RNA is filed under the name uncultured bacterium. RNAcentral's name for it is "partial 16S ribosomal RNA". It matches the Rfam family "Bacterial small subunit ribosomal RNA", at positions 524 to 776 of the family's 1533-position model. The record is from RNAcentral.